This 1284-nucleotide long non-coding RNA is filed under the name Parus major (Great Tit). Its description in RNAcentral is "lncRNA (ENSPMJG00000014423.1)". The record is from RNAcentral. Lineage: Eukaryota; Metazoa; Chordata; Aves; Passeriformes; Paridae.
AUCAAUGCAGCUCCUCUGAUGCAAAAAAUAAAGAUAAGUCCUUCACUGCAGCAACUCUCUGGAAUGCUCCAAGGAUUCAGCUGGAGUGAGUGAACCCCAUUUUUACCAAGGGAUGCAACAGCAACAAAAGUCAGUGCACCGGCAAGCGGGAUUUAUCUUCCUCUUUCAAGAAAAAAUGCAUCCGAAAGUCCAUCUACGCGUAUUUCAGCCUUUCCAUUGAUGCCUCUCCCUUCCUACAUAGCGAAGGGGUAGAAGGAAGGAAGGAAGGAAAGAAAAGAGGGAGGCUGCCUAGCUACUGGGAUUCUGCAUCAGACAAAAAAAAAAAAAAAGAGAGGAAGGAAAAAUCUGCUUCAGCAGCGGCAGCGCCUCAGAAAGGAAGGAGAAAUUCCAGCGAAACUCCGCAAGCUCAUCCUGCCCCUUCCCCACAAAAAAAGCCCCAAGCCCGGGCGAGGGGAGCAGCGAGGGCAGCGACCCCCGCCCCUCUCCCGGCCAAGCCCCCCGGGCUGCGGCUGCACCAGAGCCCCGCUGCCCCCCCGCACUGGCACCGACAGGGAACCGGCCCCCGGAGGGAUCGGGGGCUAUUUUAAUUCAGUUCCCUUUUCUAUCCCUUCCCUUUUCCACUUAACUACGACGCCAGAGAGCGGCAGGACCGGCACACGCCGCCCGGCCCCGCAGCCUCGCCCUUCCCCCGCGCUGGCCGCUCCCCUCAGGCUCCGCUCUCCCCUCGCCGCUCCCGGAGCGCCCCCCGACCCCUCCCCAGCUGUUCUCCUGCCGCUCCGCCACCGCUGCCGCGGCACCAGCUCCGCUCCCCACCCCCGUCCUCCCCAACUGCGGGGCCACCUCGCCUCAACCAGCGCGGCCCCGCCGCAUCGCUCGCCCCGUCCUCGUCCUCCUUCCCUCCCUGCCUGCCUCCCGCUCUCCCUGCCCGGCGGCCGGCCCCAGCGUGCGGAUCCCUCCGCCCGGAGCCCGGUAUCCCUCCGCCGCCGCUCGGGGAUGGCGGCGCGAUUGGAAAGGGGCGGGGCCGCGGCCAAACCGCUGCAGGACUCGCGCCCGGCGCGCGCGCGCGCGCGAUGCGGGCUGCGGGCACCGCUCAGCCUUCGGUGUGAGGGGGAGAGAGCCUCGUCCCUUCCCCGCGCCGGGAAUAAAGGUGCCUGUGAUGGGGAAAACUCGUACCCUCAGGAGGUGGAAUCCAGAAGCAGGGCAGGUUUUCCCCUCAGGAAGUGGAAGCUAGAAGCAGGACGGGUUUUCUCCUCAGAAGAUGGGAUCCAGACACACCCAUGUUAA